GUCUGGAUGGUGUAGUUGGUCAUCACGCUAGUCUCACACACUAGAGGUCCCCAGUUCAAACCUGGGUUCAGACA
Molecule: transfer RNA, 74 nt
Filed under: Selaginella moellendorffii
Lineage: Eukaryota; Viridiplantae; Streptophyta; Lycopodiopsida; Selaginellales; Selaginellaceae
Description: tRNA tRNA-Val
Source: RNAcentral